Molecule: long non-coding RNA, 4278 nt
Filed under: Musa acuminata (dwarf banana)
Lineage: Eukaryota; Viridiplantae; Streptophyta; Magnoliopsida; Zingiberales; Musaceae
Description: long non-coding RNA (MACU_LNC000948)
Source: RNAcentral
UUUUUUUUUGUACUCGCCUCCAAGGCCAUUAAGGGGUAUGGACUAGGACUUCUUCAUCACUGAGGGAAUGAUUUAUCAAAGCUAAGUUAUCAAUGAUAAUUUUGAUAUUUUAAAAAUAAUCAGUAAUAGUACUUCCGUCUUGUUUCAUUUUCAUUAGAUUGGAUAAAAGUCUGAGCAUGUGAGUACGUGAGCGAUUUGCCAAGGUGGUUUGCAACUUGGACUAUGCUUCUGCAAUAGUUUUAUAUAAAGACAUCAGUAGAGCGACGGACCCAACGAUUGAGGUUUGAAAAGCUUAGAAGAUGAGAUGAUCUUAACGUAAUCAUAGUUUGUGGGUUAGAUUUGAUACUGGAUUGAGUUCUCUUGAGAUGUUGACCAUUGCAGGUGGACAACAGAGAUAGUCGUCGAUGUAGCCUAAUAAAUCAUAUUCAAAUAGGAGAUUAGAAAAUUAUAAAUGCCAAGUGCAUAAUUAUCGUCUUUAGAUAAUUUGAAGGGAAUGAGUGCUGCAACACAUUGACGAUGAUAAGGCCUGUAGGUUAAAAAUAUUUUGAGGAUACGUACAGGAGGAAAAGUUUGAGAGUGUCAAUUGUAAAAAAGAGGUGGAAGAGAGCUGCGAUGAGGAGCGGGGCUUCUUCCAGAGGCACGAUUGUUGCAGGGAGCAAGGCAAAGUUGCUGCAGUUCUAUAGAUUUUGUGGCGGAAGAUCUGAGUGGUGAAGAAGUUGUCGUCACGUCAGAUUCAUCAGAAAGUUGGCUACCGGAAGCUCUCCUGUUGUGACUAUGGGAGUUCUCGGAUCGUAAGAUCGGGGAUGGAGACUGUGUUGUUGAAGAGGAAGGCAGCAACGGGAAGAAAGGUGGGACGGGGCGCUCGGGGCAGGCAGAGUGCCCUGCGGUAAGGGGAGAGUGCCCACCGUGGAUUGCUGUUGCCAUGGGCAGCCGGACUUUGCAGAUGUGAUGGCGGUAGUCGGCUGUGAAAUUUUCCGGAUGUAAGCUGCGGCUAUGGGGAAGAGGAAGGCGCGAUAGAUGACACCAGGUAGUAGGCGUUGAAUCUGGGUGCUACAGAAGGAGCAAAAGAUUACAGGUAGCGGCGUCAAUUUCUAGAGCAGCGACACCUCGAUGAUGCACCUUGAUGUGCUUUGGUGUGGGCUGAAGUUGCGGCCUGGAGGAGCAGUUCAGAGUAGAAUCCAACUGAUGAUGGAUGAGAGGAAGCAGAAAAGGAUGCUCUCCAACAGGGAGUCGGCACAGAGGUCACAGAGGAAGAAGCAGUAGCACCUGGAAGAUUUGACAACCCCAGCAGUUCUGUUGUAGAAUGAGAAGAACCGGACGUUGAUCCAGGUCUGUACGCUACAACAGCAGUAUCUGUGUCUGGAUGCCCAGAACACCAACCUCAAGAACCAGGUGAGAGAGUCACAGAGAAGCUGAAAUCUAUGAACUCUUUGCUUCGCUUCGUGGAGGAGUUCGACAGUACGACGAUGGAGGUAUAAAUUGUGACACCGGAUCCAAUUCUCGAGCCAUGGCAGCUUCUUCUUGGUCGGCCAAGCUGAUCAUGGCAUCUGCCGAAAUGCACUAUUUUGAUGUCCAGCCUUUGUUUGUAUCUUCUUUAUCCUGUUAUGGUAAUGCACUUUGUGUGAUAAUGUAUUAAGGCUGAUGUUCAGCCUUUGGUUGUAUCUUCUUUAUCCGGGAGUGAUUGGGGUUCGACUGCCUCCUGUAGCGCCGUCACAAUCGGGUUUGCUUGGCGUGGAUGCCUGUCUCUGGAGAGCAGUAGAGCGGUGAGGACGAGCAGAGAGCGGCCUGCGACCAGAGGAUCGCAGUCGCCGAAGGAAGAGAAGCAGCAAUAGAUCGCAGCCGAGAUCUAUUGGCGAAAAGCUCUUCAUUGGUGAGGAGGGGUGAAGGUCAGCCGCUUGCUGCAGAUCAGGUGAUGGCGGUCGGCGAGGAAGAAGGGGGAGCAGUGUUGGCGAGCGCGGCAAUAGAGGCACCGCUGCCGGAGGGAACGCAGUAGAUGAUAUCCUGUAUUGCUGACAUAGGACCCUUCAGGGCUACAGUGAGCGGACACUGGCGCAGAGCGGCAGCGGGAGAAGACAGUCAUCGUUUGCCGAGAAGGAAAGCGUUGAUCUGAUCAACGUCGCCGAAGGUGGCAGAUCGUUGUCUCCUGGGCGAUUCUGUCGUGAUAAGGAGGGUGAUGCAGCACCUGCGCUUUCUUUGGGAGCGUCGUUCGCGGGGAAAAGACGAAGAAAGAGGGAUGCUGCGCUGAAGGGAAGGGGCCGCCUUGCGCACGAACGCAAGAGAAGGGGGAGAAGACCCUCGACAGGAGAUGUGGUGCUUGCCUUUGGAGCAGCAGAGGCAGCAGCGCAAGUUCUCUGGUAAGCGAUGCAAGUUUCCACGGUCUUGGUGCCGGUACAGCAAGAGGACGCGCUCCUCGGGCGCCGCCGAGGGAGAGGCCCGUCAAGGAGAGCUUGUAGACGCGGCCGUUGUUGCAGGUAACCCCCUCGAGGUAGGAGGUGAAGAUGUUGCACGGGGCAGCGAAGGUGGCGGCCGUCCAGUUUCGGAGACUGCUGGUCGCGUCCGUCAAGGAGUUGCGCAGGUUGGAUAGGCACGCCUCAUCGUCCAGAUCAGAGAGUGCCGACGGCAGGAAGCGAAGUAAUGGUAGUAACUGAUAAGGUGUGCUGGAGAUGGCUGGGAUCUAGAAGCGGUAGUGCGGAGCUGCUGGCCGUCGGGGACGAAGGCCGCGCUGAUGGUGCCACUCGAGGAAGAGCUGUAGGAGGCAGCAGCGGAGGGAGAUAAAGGUGGCUCCUUUGUGGGUUUCCAGCGUGCGUUCCUCGGCCGGAAUGGCCUUAAAAGCUGGAGGAGCUUUACAAGCCCUACUUCCCAAAGUCCAGUAGCAGCAACGGUCGAGGUGGAGUCCGUCACCGUGCUUUGCUGACGCCGUUGCGGGGCCGUCCAAGGAAGUGAUUGGGAAAGGGCGUCGAGGGAGGAAGAGAAGAGGCGGCAACGGACACGCCAGUGAGGAACGACCUGUGGCAGUGGAAGAUGGAUGCGGAGGAUCUCGUCAGUCCACUCCUCGACGUCGGGCUUGAAAGCGCAAUGUUGUCCGUCGCUGGACAGCGAAGAGGAGAAAAUAAUAAUAAUCUUGUUUAACGCAAGGGCUCACUUGAAUUAGUUGAGCAUAAUAUUUAUUUAUACAUAUUAGAAAAAAAAAUUCUUAUGUAUUUAGAAAAAUCUUAUCUACUAUCAUACACUCACCAGCAAUCGUCAUAACGUAGAUCUUCGUGAUCUUGUUAAGAAUUCCACAUUGGUGACGCCACACGAUAGAAGAAAGAGCUUAAUCUCUGCUACUGUUUUCUUGCGGAACAGGAGGGAGCAGCAGCUUGGAUAUGUUAUGGUCUCUGUAGAUCUCCGUUUCAUCACUCUAUUCGCAUAGGAGCCAGAGCUCAUUACAUCGAAGCUCCUGAUAAAACAGAGGAGAUGGUGGUUCGUACGGAGUGCUGCAAGUUUACUGGUUUUUUUUGGACCAUCCGUGGAUGAACAUGUGUCGGGUGCAAUCAUUCACAACCAAGCUAGGCGUGAAGGUGGAGCAGGUAGAUGUCCUCGGAAAGAAACGUUGUAGCUAGCGAUUUAGAUGAUUGCUGGAGAAUAGGCUGUGGCUUGCACCGGACGUGUCGUGUUAUCAGAACACCCACAAGAGUAAAGAAGAGGAAAGACGCAAGAAACUUAGUGCUUCAUUUAUUGACGAUGACGACAAAUCAACCAAUACAGCAACACAACAGUCGAAAACAAAGCUAGAGUUCACAGAACUCUCAACAACUAGUAGAAGAAAUCAUUUGUACAGACGAACGAAUCAAUCACAGAGCAGCGCCACCAUCGUAUCACCACUUCCUGCAGACAAGAGCAGAAGAUCCAAGAAAGGAACUUUGAACAACUCUUUCCUUCAGAACAAAGAAGUUGAAGAUAGAAAGCAAAAUGGAUGUGUCAGAAGUAAAGGAAGGAAAAGACCAAAAGAGUUUGGUACCUUACAGAGGAGCUCCGAGGAGCAAUUUUACUUGGUUAUGGCGUACACCGCGUAGAUGAUCCCGGGGAUGUAGCCCAGAAUCGUCAACAACAGGCAGAUCCAGAACUCCGCCUGCUCAAGAACGAUAAUUAGCUGAUUUGCUCGUGAGAUGAAGAAGAGGGAUACGCAUGCAUACAACAUCACUGCACACACGCACCUUGCAUCCGAACUUGAGGAAGACACCGAGCGGAGGGAGGAUGAUGGCCAGAAUGAUAUCGAUGCAGUUGGCUGUGCCCUCG